UGUGUAUUUCACACGUCGCUCCUCCGGAGGAUCUGUUGAGACAUCAAAAAUGUUAGAAAUAUUACAGCAUUGUGGAGGAUCCAGCCCUGCAUUAGCACCACUGACACGCAGAGCAGCACAGGAACAGGCGGUCAGCACAAGAUCGAUUGUGGCCGGGGUCCACCACACCAUGCAGGCUGUGCAGAGAUACCCCUGAGACAAUCCGGCACAUACCAGCAGGUUGUGAUGCAGCACGAGCUGGAGGUAGUAGAGACCAGACCGACACACUGGUGAUAGCUAACCAACUGGCAGUGGUGAUACUGUAGAUGCAGCAAUCCCAAGGGACAGCAGCAUCCGGAAGAAGGAACACAAGAAGCUUGAGAAAAAUACCAAGG
This is a long non-coding RNA of Acanthopagrus latus (yellowfin seabream), 374 nucleotides long. RefSeq lists it as uncharacterized. Lineage: Eukaryota; Metazoa; Chordata; Actinopteri; Spariformes; Sparidae. The record is from RefSeq and is a predicted model, not a curated record. The transcript is spliced from 3 exons.